UACGUAGGGGGCUAGCGUUGUCCGGAAUCAUUGGGCGUAAAGCGCGCGUAGGCGGCCCGGUAAGUCCGUUGUAAAAGUCAAAGGCUCAACCUUUGAAAGCCGAUGGAUACUGCCGGGCUAGAGUCCGGAAGAGGCGAGUAGAAUUCCUGGUGUAGCGGUGAAAUGCGUAGAUAUCUGGAGGAACACCGGUGGCGAAGGCGGCGUUCUGGACUGCAACUGACACUGAGGAACGAAAGCCAGGGGAGCAAACGGG
RNAcentral lists this ribosomal RNA (253 nucleotides) under uncultured bacterium. RNAcentral's name for it is "partial 16S ribosomal RNA". It matches the Rfam family "Bacterial small subunit ribosomal RNA", at positions 524 to 776 of the family's 1533-position model. The record is from RNAcentral.